UAGAGUUUGAUCCUGGCUCAGAACGAACGCUGGCGGCGUGGAUAAGACAUGCAAGUCGAACGAGAGAAUUGCUAGCUUGCUAAUAAUUCUCUAGUGGCGCACGGGUGAGUAACACGUGAGUAACCUGCCCCCGAGAGCGGGAUAGCCCUGGGAAACUGGGAUUAAUACCGCAUAGUAUCGAAAGAUUAAAGCAGCAAUGCGCUUGGGGAUGGGCUCGCGGCCUAUUAGUUAGUUGGUGAGGUAACGGCUCACCAAGGCGAUGACGGGUAGCCGGUCUGAGAGGAUGUCCGGCCACACUGGAACUGAGACACGGUCCAGACACCUACGGGUGGCAGCAGUCGAGAAUCAUUCACAAUGGGGGAAACCCUGAUGGUGCGACGCCGCGUGGGGGAAUGAAGGUCUUCGGAUUGUAAACCCCUGUCAUGUGGGAGCAAAUUAAAAAGAUAGUACCACAAGAGGAAGAGACGGCUAACUCUGUGCCAGCAGCCGCGGUAAUACAGAGGUCUCAAGCGUUGUUCGGAAUCACUGGGCGUAAAGCGUGCGUAGGCUGUUUCGUAAGUCGUGUGUGAAAGGCGCGGGCUCAACCCGCGGACGGCACAUGAUACUGCGAGACUAGAGUAAUGGAGGGGGAACCGGAAUUCUCGGUGUAGCAGUGAAAUGCGUAGAUAUCGAGAGGAACACUCGUGGCGAAGGCGGGUUCCUGGACAUUAACUGACGCUGAGGCACGAAGGCCAGGGGAGCGAAAGGGAUUAGAUACCCCUGUAGUCCUGGCAGUAAACGGUGCACGCUUGGUGUGCGGGGAAUCGACCCCCUGCGUGCCGGAGCUAACGCGUUAAGCGUGCCGCCUGGGGAGUACGGUCGCAAGAUUAAAACUCAAAGAAAUUGACGGGGACCCGCACAAGCGGUGGAGUAUGUGGCUUAAUUCGAUGCAACGCGAAGAACCUUACCUGGGCUUGACAUGUAAUGAACAACAUGUGAAAGCAUGCGACUCUUCGGAGGCGUUACACAGGUGCUGCAUGGCCGUCGUCAGCUCGUGUCGUGAGAUGUUUGGUUAAGUCCAGCAACGAGCGCAACCCCUGUUGCCAGUUACCAGCACGUGAAGGUGGGGACUCUGGCGAGACUGCCCAGAUCAACUGGGAGGAAGGUGGGGACGACGUCAGGUCAGUAUGGCCCUUAUGCCCAGGGCUGCACACGUACUACAAUGCCCAGUACAGAGGGGGCCGAAGCCGCGAGGCGGAGGAAAUCCUAAAAACUGGGCCCAGUUCGGACUGUAGGCUGCAACCCGCCUACACGAAGCCGGAAUCGCUAGUAAUGGCGCAUCAGCUACGGCGCCGUGAAUACGUUCCCGGGUCUUGCACACACCGCCCGUCA
RNAcentral lists this ribosomal RNA (1371 nucleotides) under uncultured bacterium. RNAcentral's name for it is "bacterial SSU rRNA". It matches the Rfam family "Bacterial small subunit ribosomal RNA". The record is from RNAcentral.